RNAcentral lists this ribosomal RNA (301 nucleotides) under uncultured bacterium. Its description in RNAcentral is "partial 16S ribosomal RNA". It matches the Rfam family "Bacterial small subunit ribosomal RNA", at positions 509 to 807 of the family's 1533-position model. The record is from RNAcentral.
CAGUAGCCGCGGGAACACGAAGGGGGCUAGCGUUGUUCGGAAUCACUGGGCGUAAAGCGCACGUAGGCGGACUUUUAAGUCAGGGGUGAAAUCCCAAGGCUCAACCUUGGAACUGCCUUUGAUACUGGAAGUCUUGAGUUCGGGAGAGGUGAGUGGAACUGCGAGUGUAGAGGUGAAAUUCGUAGAUAUUCGCAAGAACACCAGUGGCGAAGGCGGCUCACUGGCCCGAUACUGACGCUGAGGUGCGAAAGCGUGGGGAGCAAACAGGAUUAGAUACCCCGGUAGUCCCUGUCUCUUAUAC